UACAGAGGUCUCAAGCGUUACUGAGAAUCACUGGGUUUAAAGGGUGCGUAGGUGGUCUGUUAAGUCCGUUGUGAAAGCCCUGGGCUCAACCCAGGAACUGCUUCGGAUACUGGCAGACUUGAGGCUAGUAGAGGUCACUGGAACUGACGGUGGAGCGGUGAAAUGCGUAGAUAUCGUCAGGAACGCCAAUGGUGAAGACAGGUGACUGGGCUAGAUCUGACACUGAGGCACGAAAGCGUGGGGAGCGAACGGG
RNAcentral lists this ribosomal RNA (253 nucleotides) under uncultured bacterium. Its description in RNAcentral is "partial 16S ribosomal RNA". It matches the Rfam family "Bacterial small subunit ribosomal RNA", at positions 524 to 776 of the family's 1533-position model. The record is from RNAcentral.